Long non-coding RNA from Polistes dominula (European paper wasp), 1099 nucleotides. RefSeq lists it as uncharacterized. The record is from RefSeq and is a predicted model, not a curated record. NCBI's taxonomy places the organism in Eukaryota, Metazoa, Arthropoda, Insecta, Hymenoptera, Vespidae.
UGAAAGGAUAGGGAAAUGGACAAGAAAAAUAAACUCAACUCGUGCACUUUUCCAAAUGAAGGCAUAAACAUUUCCUUCUCAUCGAUUGCGACCUCGUAUUUGCUGCUUGACCAAGCACAAGCACAUGGCUACUACUAGAUAAUACUGAUCAACAAAAAAAAAAGAAAAAAAGAAAAUAGACGAAUAAGAAGAGGAAGAGAAAGAGGAAGAGGAAGAAGAGAAGUUAUAGAAUCUUUGGAUGAACAUAAUCGAAAAAAAUAGAGAGUAGAGAGAAGAGGGGUCGUGUCGUUUAAGAAGAGUAACUAGGAAAAGUCGAAGCUCAUGGGCGUGACAAUUGGCCGGAUGUGUUUGCCAUUGUUAAAAUUGUGCGGUCCUGUCCUGUGGCAUGCUACUUCUUCUAUUGCUAUAAACCUUCGAUCGAUUUCGAAGAAAACGGCUGGAAAACUUGUACAUUGUUGGAUUUGACGUUAAAGGGACUUGUCGGUUUGCUAAAUACCUACCGAUAACUUUUCUUUGUUGGAUCAGUUUGAAAAGGAUAAAAAUCCGUGAAUAAACAGUAAACGAUUGGAUAGUUGCCAGGAGGAAUCUUCAGUAGAAGUACUCACUUCGCGGGAAAGGCUCUCGUUGCGUUCACUUACCUUCAGGAGGGAAAUCUUUGGUGGUUCUGAAAGUAGGGGGGUAGAUUUCACCCCCUUCCAAUCCCUCUCCUCUCUCCCUCCCUGCUACUGGUAGCAGCGUUAUCGACCACUGUCGCAAAAGCCACGCCUUUGCCCAGAUAUUACUCUAGUAUGCAAGCAAAAAUUGAAAAAGAACUUACAAGAAUUGAAUAAAAGUUUAUCGAGAGAGAAAAAUUCAGAAGCAUCGUGUAGAUAAACAAUUUCAAGAGUGAAGAAGAGGGAAGGAGAAAGAAGAAACGGAGCAAAAGAUCAAUUAUGUGAAAUCAAAAUUUUUGGGAUCGUAUAUAAUAAUAAUAUGGAAGAUAGAAAGAGAUGGUAAGGAAGGUUCUCUUCCGUUUUAUACGUAAGGUCCACCCCACGGAAAUCAGGCAAUAAAGCAGUCCGGAACACGGUCUUGCCCUUUCAACCCCCGUCCACUUCUC